Molecule: RNA transcript, 1584 nt
Organism: Capsicum annuum
Lineage: Eukaryota; Viridiplantae; Streptophyta; Magnoliopsida; Solanales; Solanaceae
Exons: 3
Source: RefSeq, a predicted model, not a curated record
ACUGCAUUGUGUUUAUUUCCUUUCAGGGAAUUGCCGAUACUAUGGCAGUAUUACCAAAAGAAGGUCGUCCACUUCGUGGAGAGCACAAUCUCUUAGGUUCAGCAACAACUAGAAGUUUUGGCCAGGGUACUUGAACUUCUUGUCUUCUACUGCUCUUCAGGCAGCGAGGGACGUAAGGUGUGAUUCUAUACAUGCACCUGUUUUUAAAGGGACGAAAAAAAGGCCACGAGAGACCAAAGACAGCAUGGAACAAGGGAAAGUAAAGAAAUAAUAAUAGAAGGGAGAGUCCAAUUUGAUUUAUUUCAAGUUUUGUUCAUUAUUGGCUAUAGCUAUAACCUAUUUUAAUUUUUGUACAUAGAAAUUUGCUUAGGAAAAUAACGGAUAUCACUAAAUCAGUUAUUUUCUUGUUUCGCGGGCUGUGUAGAUGGAUUAUAAGCUAAGUUCUUACUCACUAAAUUCUGUCUCAACACAUUUUCUUAAGGAGCAGGUUAGAUUUUUCUCUUUUAUCUAUAGUUUCUUGUCUUAUUCUCCUACAUCUGCCUACAACCAUAUACAUUUUGCGAGUAUAUUUAUACAUGAUUUUGAGCAUUGUUCUCUGCAUAUUGUUUUACCAAGGCUAAUGAUGCUUGACUCAUAGUAGCAAGAACUUGGUCAGAGUUUAGCAUGCCCUUUGAAGCCAAGUAGUUCUUGAAGUAGAUAAUAUCAAAUUUUGUUGGGGAAACAAAGUCCAAGGAGAAUAGGUUCUGGUCACCACCACAUUUUGGGCAUCUAUUGUGCAGUUGGGCAGCGUAAGAGUCAUCCAGAGUUUAAGUCUUGUUUUUUAUUUCCUGACUGGUUGUAGAGCCUUUGUCAGAAGCUGGUACACCUUGAAUUUCCAAUUGUGUGAUUGUCUACAUUAAAAUUUAUAAGUGUUAACUAUGAUUUCAUGUGAGAUAACUAGUCUAGCUAAAAUUAAGCUAGCAAAAAAAGACUAGCAUUUAUUAGACAAAGCUACAAGAUCAAGUCCCUAUCUAUUGAACCUUGAGAGAAUGGAAUCAAAUGUGUUGUUUGGAGCAAGAAUAAUGAAGUGAUUAAAAGUGAAGCCUUAAGCUUUUGUAUGAUAUAAUUACACAAUUAUACAAAAUGGAUCACAAGUUUUGUGCAUCUUAUCUAAUACUUCAGAAUUUAUAUCUUUCUUAACAUGUUUUCAAGUACAAGUAUAUGGUAAUCUCCCUAUUUUCUUAACUUUUCAAGAUUGUUUUGUCAACAGAGAUAAUCUGAAACUUAUGUUUCUCUAAUUCUUCUCUAUCAACGUCGUGCUAUCCUGCUAUCUUGUGAGACAUCACAUUGGACAAGUAGGUAGAACUGAACAACAACACCAAAAUGAUAAAGUUGUUGCAAUUAAUUCUGGAGAAACUAGACUUCAUAGAACAUCAAAGACCACAUUCUAAAGAUUAGUUCUGCAGUUGAAAUUUUAGGUAAGCAACAUUACCCUUAAAAAUGCCAAUAGAGAUCUGGCACGGCCAUGUCAAUAGCCAAUUCAUGAUUUACACUCACCAAUGAGUUCUCUUAAUAUUAAUGGUGGGAAAGAAGUGGUUAUCAGCA